Molecule: ribosomal RNA, 1213 nt
Filed under: Flavobacterium sp. A12CS2014
Lineage: Bacteria; Pseudomonadati; Bacteroidota; Flavobacteriia; Flavobacteriales; Flavobacteriaceae
Description: bacterial SSU rRNA
Rfam family: Bacterial small subunit ribosomal RNA
Source: RNAcentral
GCGCACGGGUGCGUAACGCGUAUGCAAUCUACCUUUUACAGAGGGAUAGCCCAGAGAAAUUUGGAUUAAUACCUCAUAGUAUAAUGAGUUGGCAUCAACACAUUAUUAAAGUCACAACGGUAAAAGAUGAGCAUGCGUCCCAUUAGCUUGUUGGUAAGGUAACGGCUUACCAAGGCAACGAUGGGUAGGGGUCCUGAAAGGGGAGAUCCCCCACACUGGUACUGAGACACGGACCAGACUCCUACGGGAGGCAGCAGUGAGGAAUAUUGGACAAUGGGCGCAAGCCUGAUCCAGCCAUGCCGCGUGCAGGAUGACGGUCCUAUGGAUUGUAAACUGCUUUUGUACAGGAAGAAACACUGGUUCGUGAACCAGCUUGACGGUACUGUAAGAAUAAGGAUCGGCUAACUCCGUGCCAGCAGCCGCGGUAAUACGGAGGAUCCAAGCGUUAUCCGGAAUCAUUGGGUUUAAAGGGUCCGUAGGCGGUCAGAUAAGUCAGUGGUGAAAGCCCAUCGCUCAACGGUGGAACGGNCCAUUGAUACUGUCUGACUUGAAUUAUUAGGAAGUAACUAGAAUAUGUAGUGUAGCGGUGAAAUGCUUAGAGAUUACAUGGAAUACCAAUUGCGAAGGCAGGUUACUACUAAUGGAUUGACGCUGAUGGACGAAAGCGUGGGUAGCGAACAGGAUUAGAUACCCUGGUAGUCCACGCCGUAAACGAUGGAUACUAGCUGUUGGGAGCAAUCUCAGUGGCUAAGCGAAAGUGAUAAGUAUCCCACCUGGGGAGUACGUUCGCAAGAAUGAAACUCAAAGGAAUUGACGGGGGCCCGCACAAGCGGUGGAGCAUGUGGUUUAAUUCGAUGAUACGCGAGGAACCUUACCAAGGCUUAAAUGUAGAUUGACCGGUUUGGAAACAGAUCUUUCGCAAGACAAUUUACAAGGUGCUGCAUGGUUGUCGUCAGCUCGUGCCGUGAGGUGUCAGGUUAAGUCCUAUAACGAGCGCAACCCCUGUUGUUAGUUGCCAGCGAGUCAUGUCGGGAACUCUAACGAGACUGCCAGUGCAAACUGAGAGGAAGGUGGGGAUGACGUCAAAUCAUCACGGCCCUUACGCCUUGGGCUACACACGUGCUACAAUGGCCGGUACAGAGAGCAGCCACUGGGUGACCAGGAGCGAAUCUACAAAACCGGUCACAGUUCGGAUCGGAGUCUGCAACUUCGA